AUCACUGGAGAUCUUGUUAAGACGCAGAUUCUAAUUCAGUGGCCCAGGAUUCUGCAUUUCUAACAAGCUCGCAAGUGAUGCCAG
This 84-nucleotide microRNA precursor is filed under the name Felis catus (domestic cat). RNAcentral's name for it is "mir-544 microRNA precursor family". It matches the Rfam family "mir-544 microRNA precursor family". Lineage: Eukaryota; Metazoa; Chordata; Mammalia; Carnivora; Felidae. The record is from Rfam by way of RNAcentral.